This 460-nucleotide ribosomal RNA is filed under the name uncultured bacterium. RNAcentral's name for it is "partial 16S ribosomal RNA". It matches the Rfam family "Bacterial small subunit ribosomal RNA", at positions 338 to 795 of the family's 1533-position model. The record is from RNAcentral.
CCUACGGGUGGGCAGCAGUGAGGAAUAUUGGUCAAUGGGCGGGAGCCUGAACCAGCCAAGCCGCGUGAGGGAAGAAGGUACAGCGUAGCGUAGAACUCUUUUGUCAGGGAACAGAGGCGGGGACUAGUACCCGGAUGAGGGUACCUGAAGACAAAGCAUCGGCUAACUCGGUGCCAGCAGCCGCGGUAAUAAGGAGGAUGCGAGCGUGAUCCGGAUUGAUUGGGUGAAAGGGGUGCGCAGGCGGGCUGUUAAGUCAGCGGGAAAAGCCCGGGGUUCAACCCGGGCGAGCAGUUGAAACUGGCGGGCUGGAGUUUGAGAGAGGGACGUGGAAUGCGCUGUGUAGCGGUGAAAUGCUUAGAGAUGGCGCAGAACCCCGAUUGCGAAGGCAGCGCACCGGCUCAAGACUGACGCUGAGGUACGAAAGCGUGGGUAGCGAACAGGAUUAGAUACCCGUGUAGUC